RNAcentral lists this long non-coding RNA (263 nucleotides) under Brassica napus (rape). RNAcentral describes it as "long non-coding RNA (BNAP_LNC006004)". The record is from RNAcentral. Lineage: Eukaryota; Viridiplantae; Streptophyta; Magnoliopsida; Brassicales; Brassicaceae.
AGAGAGAGAGAGAGAGAGAGAGAACAUGCAGAGAAGCGACUUAUGCGCCGGAGCAAUAGCAAUGACUAAGUGUUGUCUGAAUUCUUAUUUUUAUUGGUGUCGUAAUUAUUAUCUUAGAUGUUGUCAUAACACGGUUUAUAUCUCUUAUACAAGUAUCGCAAACUACAUAAUCACAUAGGUGGAAUAUGGUUCUUCUUGCAUGUGUUUUGUCUUUUCACGGUUGUAUUGUGUGAGAACAAAAUAUUGUAAAUAAAUUUCCUUUU